Non-coding RNA from Poeciliopsis prolifica (blackstripe livebearer), 72 nucleotides. The record is from the annotation of a RefSeq genome assembly. Lineage: Eukaryota; Metazoa; Chordata; Actinopteri; Cyprinodontiformes; Poeciliidae.
UCCCUGGUGGUCUAAUGGCAAGGAUUCGGCGCUUUCACCGCCGCGGCCCGGGUUCGAUCCCCGGUCAGGGAA